Long non-coding RNA from Sapajus apella (tufted capuchin), 2740 nucleotides. RefSeq lists it as uncharacterized. The record is from RefSeq and is a predicted model, not a curated record. The transcript is spliced from 3 exons. NCBI's taxonomy places the organism in Eukaryota, Metazoa, Chordata, Mammalia, Primates, Cebidae.
GAUUACAGGCACCUGCCACCAUACCUGGCUAAUUUUUGUAUUUUUAGCCUUAAAAUCAUAAAAAUAAUCUGAUUAAAGUGCAGUUGUUUUAAUAGGAUAAAUGACUAUGAGGUAAUGAGACCUCUCUUUGUAUGACAGCACUUAGAAAUUUAAAAAAAUCUUCACUGCUAGAGCAGCCAAGGCAGCCCAUAAACUUAGGCUGCGCUUGUCCUGACACCUGUUUGAAACUAUUUUAUUUGGUUUCUUCAGAGAUGGUUUCAUACCCACAUGAGAAAAUUUGUUUUUUAUGUUAUGGUGAUAGCUCACUCUCCCUUUAACUAAUAUUGUUCUCUUUGCCCUGUCUUCCUUAUCACAUGGCUUAGCUCUGCCCGCUUCUCUUCAUUCAUGGCUGCUUAAGCUUCUGAUGGAUCUUGAAGGGAGUAGAUAAACUUUCUUUGUGACUUUGGAGCCAUCACAUUUGAUCUUUGGGCCUACUCCCCUCUCCUCAUCUACUGGGAUAAAUAUUAGUACUGAUCUACUUGUAAGACUUCUUUUUCCCAAGAAGAUAAUUAGGUUAUCUCUCUCCCUACCCCUCACCAAGAAAUCAAAAUAAAUUAGAACCUUCCUUUCAGUAUCCGAGAGUCUUUAAAGGUGUUUUAAACCACUAGAGGGAGCCCAUAUUGUUCUGAUUUCUGAAUCCUAUAAUGUUUCACAACUUGAUUUUAUUGCCUGUAGAAAAGGAUCUCUCUAACCAAUGACUGGAUCAGUACAUCCAUAACUGUAGUGAUCUCUUUUAGUUUGCCUCUUUUCUUUUUUUUCCCAAUAUUUUUAUUGUGGUAAAAUAUACAUAAUACAAAAUUUACUGUCUUGACCAUUUUUAAGUUUACAAUUCAGUGGUAUUAAAUAAAUUCAUAAUGUGCAACCACAGUCAUCAUCCAUCUUUAUAACUCUUUUCAUCUUGUAAAAUAGAAACUCUGUACCCAUUAAACAAUAACUCCUUAUUAUCCCCUCCACCUAGCUCCUGGAAACAGCACUUGUACUUUCUGUUUUUAUAAUUUUGACUAUACUAGGUAUUGGAUAUACAGUACUUGUCUUUUUGUGACCUAUUUCCUUUAACAUAAUGUCCUCAGGGUUCAUCCAUGCUGUUGCAUGUCAGAAUUCCCUUAGUUUUUAAGGCUGAAUAAUAUUCCAUUGCACAUAUGUACCGAAUUUUGCUUAUCCAUUCAUCUGUUGGUAAACACUUGUGGUGCAUCCACUUUUUAGCUGUUGUUUUAGUUCAUUUGUGUUGCUAUAAAGGAAUACCUGAGCCUGGGUAAUUUGUUUUUAAAAGAGGUUUAUUUGGCUCAUGGUUCUGCACACUGUACAAGAAGUGUAGCCCAAGCAUCUCCAUCUGGUGAGGGCCUCUGCUGCAUAGUCCAGACUACAAAGUAGAGGGAAGGAAAUGGCUGGUUUCCUCUGUGCCAUGCUUCGGACUUGGAAUCUUUUACCCAGGCUUUGAAAGCCACGGGAGUUGGUAUUUAUUCCCCACUCUUCUGUCCACAUGCCAUCCCAUCAGAGUUUCUGUUGCUUUCUAGAACACUGUGGGGGCAAGACUUUCCUACUGGCACAAUUGGUAGGUAACACUACCCUCAAGGGUUGUGGAAGGUUAAAGGGAGCUGGCGUGUAGAGAUCACAUGGUGAGAGAGGAAGCAAGAGGCGGGGAGGUGCCAGGGUUUUUUUUUUUAACAACCAGCUCUGGCAGGAACUAAUAGAGCGAGAACUCACUCAUCACAGCAAGGAUGUCACCAAGCCAUUCAUGAGGAAUUUGCGCCCAUGACCCAAACACUGCCCUUUAGGCACCAUCUCCAAUAUCAGGGAUCAAAUGUCUGGGGAAACAAAUAUACCUGGUAUAUUCUAUUUUAAAUAUGGUAAUUCUAUUUUUAAUUAUUUGAGGAACUUUCACACUGUUUUCCAUAGUGGCUGUGUAUCAUUUUACAUUUCCACCAGGAAUGCACAAGGAUUCCAUUUUCUCCGUAUUCUCACCAACGUGUGUUAUUUUCUGGUUUUGUUUGUUUGUUUAUAGUAGCCAUCCUAAUGGAUGUGAGGUAAGGAGAAAAUUGGAAAAUCACCAAACAGAGACCAUCAUUUAUACUAGUGUUUUUGUAUUCUGUGGCUCAGAAUGGGCUGUGGGUAGAGUAAUUUGAUCAUUUUUGAUAGCUCCUUGACUGGGGUCUAUGGCUAUCUUCCUCCCCUUCUCCAUAACGUUCCAUAUCACCUUCCACCACCUUUCUUUCCAGCAAUCCCUGGACAGAUUUAGUCCCAUUCAGCAGAAUAUCAGUUGUGUGUAGACGUUGUUAUACUGGGCUCUGUGGCAAAGUGGAAGGUGAAUAAUGAACUGUCCUUGUCGGGGUAACAAUCUUAGCCUUCAUUGCAUUCAGGGAAUGUAUUUUGGCUUCUUUCAACCUUUCUUCCCUUUGCUCUCCUCUCUCUACUAAGGAGCUUGACCUCAUGAUUUCUCAGAUCCCCUCCACUCCUUCAAAUUCUCUAGAUUUUUCAUUUAUCGAUCAGUGGAGUUGUUUUUGUAUUUUAUUGUCUUUUUAAAAUAUUGGGAAUUUAUAAGAUUUUACACUUCCUGCUAUAGUUUGAAUGUUUGUCCCACCAAAUCUCAUGUUGAAAUCUGAUCUGCAAUGUUGGAGGUAGUGCCUAAUGGGCAGUGUUUGGGUUAUGGGGGCAGAUCCCUCAUGAAUGGCUUGAUGCCAUCCUUGCUGAGAUAAGUGGUUGU